Molecule: long non-coding RNA, 990 nt
Filed under: Lactuca sativa (garden lettuce)
Lineage: Eukaryota; Viridiplantae; Streptophyta; Magnoliopsida; Asterales; Asteraceae
Description: long non-coding RNA (LSAT_LNC007835)
Source: RNAcentral
AGGAGUCAAAAAGGGGGCUAAGUGUGUGUAAUUAAAGGUGUUCUAGAGAGAGAAAGUGAGAGAGAAGAAGAGUGUAUAUAUGUGUGCGUGAAUCUUGUGUCGGAACAUCAUUCUAAUCAUAUAAACAUUGAAGAUUCGUCACAUUCAUCAUCUUCUUAUUAUCCCUCUUCUUCAUUUUGAUAUUGCAUCAUCCAAUUUAUUGGGAUUCCAUACCAUCAAUUGAAUAUGAUUGAUACAUCAAGCAAAAUGUGGACUUUACAGUUGGUAUCAUAACUUGGAUUGUAUCGACCAUUUGGGCAAGAUAUGAAGCGUUUUUGCACUUUCUUGAAGGAUUUUGCUUUUUUGGAUAGUUUUUGACAAAAUAAUGAGGGUUUGUUCUUCGUGUUUUUCAUAAAAAUGAGUUUUUUAUCGAGUUUUGGGCUAAAAAGGGGUGAAAAAGCUGUUUUUUCGUAAUCUACGACGAAAUCGUGUUUGCAGUUCAACCGUUUGCGGCCGAAAACUCAUUUACAGCUAGGGUUUCACGUGCGUUUGCGGUCAGACCUCGGCGGCGACAGUAAUCUCAUAUUAGGGUUCCUCGGUGUUUUGGGCUUCUGAAGUCGGCCAAACUCGUUUACAGCUCUCAGAUCUUCGGCCCACGAGGUUUGCGGUCAGCAGAGUGCACGUGUUCGGUUCAAACGAGCUUCGGUCGCGCACGUGUGCGGUCCUGGGCUCCUUGCAUGUGGUCUAGUUGUUUUUCGUAAUCUACGACGAAAUCGUGUUUGCAGUUCAACCGUUUGCGGCCGAAAACUCAUUUACAGCUAGGGUUUCACGUGCGUUUGCGGUCAGACCUCGGCGGCGACAGUAAUCUCUUCGGCCCACGAGGUUUGCGGUCAGCAGAGUGCACGUGUUCGGUUCAAACGAGCUUCGGUCGCGCACGUGUGCGGUCCUGGGCUCCUUGCAUGUGGUCUAGUUGGCAACAACAACGAAUAUUCAAAAAUCACAAGGAGUUGC